CCCCAGACCCAGCAGCCACGAUAAUUCCCAGCAGAAGACGCCUAAAAUCCCCUAAAAUAGAACCCACGCGUUUCUCAUCCCCUUUCCCUCGUCUCUCUCACCCGCAAAACCCAGACCCCCAGCAUCCACGCGCAAGAGAAAUUCCCAGAACCGAUCCCGUGCAACGCGUCGUAGCGUCUCCCUCAUUCCCCUUGUCUGUUUGUGCGAGGCAUAACGUACUUGUACGAAAUGGAGAACGACGUGGUGAUAUCGCAGCACCCCUCUUGUCUUUGGAGCAAAAUCAAACGAUUGUUCGCACCAUUCCGUUGGAGAAUGGUACGAAGCUCGUACUACUCGGCCCCAACCUUAUCUCUUCAGGGUUUCUUCCGAUUUCAAAUGGAGACUUGGAAUAUCGAUUUUACCCCAACCUUUUCCCUUUUUUCCCCCGCCCUCUUAACCCAAAAGAAACCCUAGUUUCCCUCUAUAAAUACCCCCCCCCCUCAAACGAUAAUGGGGUUGGAAAUUUUUGGAUUGGAAAUUCUGAGCAAAAAGGGUCUUUAGCUUUGUAGGUUAUUCCGGAAGAAAAAAGGGAAAGUUACAGAGGUCGAAUUUUGGAUUAAGAUGGAGUGGAGUUUUUUUUUUCUCUAUCAUUUAUCCUGUUCAAAUCUGUUGGUAGAAGCUUUGAGCGACCAUAGAAACGGUUGCCAGAAUUUGUGCGAAGCCGGAGAUCGACGGAUCGAUAAGCUAAUCGAGCCAAUACUUUCAUUUUGUCACUUGGGUGUACGUGUCUUCGAUUGGUGGAAGUCGUCGUCAUUUGUUGCUCGUCCCAAGCAUCGCUGCUCCGAAGAAUAACUUGCUGCUUCCAUGUCAUGUUAUCGAUUUGUUCAUGUCGUCAUGGCCAUCGUGAUUUCUUUUGGUGAUAGUUAUUGGUUUUCGACAAAAUUUAGAUUGGAACUUUGAAUAUGCUUCUCAUUCUUAAAGGUUUAUUCGGGUUUCUUUAGUGUGAAGUCCACUGUCACACAUCAAAUGGCUGGUAAAUGGUGAUCAGUUGUUAAGUUUUGUUAUGUUAGUUCUUGAUAUGCUUCACUUGUGCGAGGCUUGCAUUGUGGGAUGGUACGAUGUGUUUUGAUGUUAACUAUAUUGAUGUUUGGUGUAUGCGUGAAAUACUAUGGGUGGCGGUUCGAUAGUUUGCAUUCUCGAUACUGCAUUGGCCAUUAGACUGUGUUGAACCGUUACAAACUAAAGGGAGAUGCAACAUCCUGCCUUUCUUUAUCUAUCUUUCUAUGAUCUUGAAUUGCAAUUUUGUUUGCCGAUUUUAUGCUCCUCACAGGGAGUUUUUGGGUUUUAAAAUAGCUUAAUAUAAUAGGCUUUGGUCGAUUUCUUUCCUCUCUUUUGAAUAUUGGUCUGCAGAAGCAUACAGUUUAGUUGUUAUCUCUCUGAAAAUGAUUAUGGCAGGUUGCCCUGAUGCAUUGUUCGUGAUUAAUUUUAGGUUAUUGUUGAUACUAUUUUUUGUUGUUUUCGAAUAUUUGAAAUGGGUCAGUUAGAACAGCUUGAUCUAAGUUAGUUGUUGACAUUUUAUUUGUUGGCCUUUGGUUGUUGCAUAUUCGUUGAAUUUGAUUUCGUUCAUUAGCAUACCGUCGAACUUUUGAUGAAGGAGUCUUGGUUCUCAGCUUCUAUUAUCUUUCUUAUAAAUCAUCCAUUUGUUUAUUUGUUUCCUUUGGGGUUUACUGUGUACUUCACUAAAUAGCUCUAUUGUAUGUUUUUAGCAUUACUUAUAUCUUUUUUUUUGUUUGUUUGCAUGAAAAAUUCCCCUCGAGUCCGUUUCGAGACUCCCUUUUUCUUUACAUUUUGGAAGAUCCGUAGAGGCUCAAUUCCUUUAUCGAGUCAAAGCAAACAAUAUGGAGUCCAACUUCAUGAGGAUUGAAGAAAUUAGAAGAAGACGGAUCAGAAGACUUUUUAUAUGUUUUAUUUUUUUUCUUUUUUCGUAUUUUAUUUGUAAUGGGCAUAAACCCUUGUUGUUUUUCUUAAUUUCUUGUAUUUCUUUUUUGUAUGUUUAGACUAAGACAAGUGAAUGGGUCAAAAACCCAAAAACAGGUGGGUCCAUAAUUCUGUCCAGGCGAACAGAACCCGAAUUUGGACCAAAAACCUCUCUCUCUGUCUCUC
Solanum pennellii is the source of this 2142-nucleotide long non-coding RNA. RefSeq lists it as uncharacterized. Lineage: Eukaryota; Viridiplantae; Streptophyta; Magnoliopsida; Solanales; Solanaceae. The record is from RefSeq and is a predicted model, not a curated record. The transcript is spliced from 2 exons.